AGCAUUGCCGAGGGCAGCACAGAGCAACCAUAGACGCCUACAAACAUAAUCAAGUUCUUCAUUCUAUGACAUAUUCGUUUAGGGACUUUUGAGAAGGCGCGUUGAAUGUCUGGCGGUGUCUGGCCCAAGUUGGUUCUUUAUUCUAUGGGCCCACGCCGACCGCGCUUUAUUCUAUGACCGCGCAAUGGUCGUGGGUGCAGUGUUUCUUGGCGGUAAACCGUGCAGUAGUGGUGGUGUGGCAUGGCGGCUUUUGGUCUCGGUGAACUCUGGUCGUGUAAGACUAGCUGUAUUUCUGAAGAAUUCGGUGGUGCUGGGAUUCAAGCGACAUAGCGCCUCGGCAAUGGAAAUACGGCCCCAGAGCUGCGGCGUCGCCGUGUCCGCCCUUUACGUAACUAUGUGGACUUGCUUGAUGGAGUUCGAGGGAUGUGCUGCAUCCUACAAGUCAUGACGGUGACUGCGUCGACCGCGCGCUGUUCAACGAGAAAUGUCUGGUUUGUCUACUGUGCUUCUUGAAACUAAAGCCUCUAAUAUAGGGGCUUUACUUGAAACGAGCAGUGCAGCCGUGCAGCGGGGGUGGUGCAGCGUCGACCGCGCGCUGUUCAACGCGAAAUGUGUGGUUUGUGUACUGUGCUUCUUGAAACAAGUGAUGCAGCUGUGCAGCGGGGUUGGUGAAGAAGCAGAGUGGCUUUGGGUCUCCAGUAGCGUGUUCACAGACAUAUGCUCCCGUUUUGGACCGCGAGAUUGUGGUGUGUACCUGGCCUAGAAUGAAGUUUACGAUACUAACACAGCUUGUUCACGUUCUUCCGUGCUAGAUGUACCAUUUGCAUGACGAUCGAGCUGAAAACGAGACCUAUACCCGUGUUAUUUGCGUUUGUGUGUCCUAAGUUACGUUGUCUUAUGCAAGUUAUGGCAGUUUUAUUACGAAGGGAGUACGGACGUAAAUAUAUAAACAUAUUUGUGUAUGUCUUAAA
Long non-coding RNA from Dermacentor silvarum, 971 nucleotides. RefSeq lists it as uncharacterized. Lineage: Eukaryota; Metazoa; Arthropoda; Arachnida; Ixodida; Ixodidae. The transcript has 2 exons. The record is from RefSeq and is a predicted model, not a curated record.